Long non-coding RNA from Monomorium pharaonis (pharaoh ant), 562 nucleotides. RefSeq lists it as uncharacterized. The record is from RefSeq and is a predicted model, not a curated record. The transcript is spliced from 2 exons. NCBI's taxonomy places the organism in Eukaryota, Metazoa, Arthropoda, Insecta, Hymenoptera, Formicidae.
AUAUUUCUCUUAUGAUAACAACUCGACAUUCAUAUAUGCAUUUUAAGAUACAAUUAAAUGUAAAUAAACGAUGAUUGAACGACAUUUUUUCGAAAAUUUGAAUGCCCAAGGAAUGAUAAAUGCUCCGUGAAUGAUGAUGAACACUCCGCCAUAAAAACAUGAAGAGGUGUAUCUCGUGAACUGACACUUUCGGGCAUUCCUUUACAGAUAUGUGAAAUAAAAAUAAAAUAUAGCAAUAAUACUUAAUUAUUUAGUAAAAUACGGUCAUUUUUUUAUGGAGUUUAACAAAAUUAUGAUUAUAGGAAGUAUUUUUGUUUGAUUAAGAUGAGGAUAUAGAAAAUACAUGUAUAGGUAAAGUCCUAUAAACUAUGCGAAAAACAACUAUUAUAAUAAAUGUGUCAGGUUUAACGUGCAUAAACCAGACAGUGUUACAGAUAACACCAGAUUGCACCUUGUGCAAUUCUAAGGCAAACAGAAGCAAUGUCUCAUUAACAAUUUUAGAACUACAGCAUUGUUCAUGUGAUGAUGACGAAAGAAAUCAAUAAAAACAUGUUAAUCGAUU